AAUGAACGUUGGCGGCGUGGAUUAGGCAUGCAAGUCGCGCGAUAAAUGUAGCAAUACAUGGAAAGCGGCGAAAGGGACAGUAACGUGUGGGAACCUACCUCGGGGUCUGGGAUAGCGGCGGGAAACUGCCGGUAAUACCAGAUGACAUCCCCGGAUCAAAGGUGGGAUUCCGCCCUGAGAUGGGCCCACAUGCUAUUAGUUAGUUGGCGGGGUAAUGGCCCACCAAGACUAAGAUGGCUAGCGGGUGUGAGAGCACGACCCGCGUCACUGGGACUGAGAAACUGCCCAGACACCUACGGGUGGCUGCAGUCGAGAAUCUUCGGCAAUGGGCGCAAGCCUGACCGAGCGACGCCGCGUGCGGGAUGAAGGCCCUCGGGUUGUAAACCGCUGUCGAGGGGGAUGAAAUUCCGGUGGGUACUCCCAUCGGAUUGACAGAUCCCUGGAGGAAGGGUGGGCUAAGUUCGUGCCAGCCGCCGCCGUAA
Molecule: ribosomal RNA, 482 nt
Filed under: uncultured bacterium
Lineage: Bacteria
Description: partial 16S ribosomal RNA
Rfam family: Bacterial small subunit ribosomal RNA
Source: RNAcentral